This 399-nucleotide ribosomal RNA is filed under the name uncultured bacterium. RNAcentral's name for it is "bacterial SSU rRNA". It matches the Rfam family "Bacterial small subunit ribosomal RNA", at positions 357 to 773 of the family's 1533-position model. The record is from RNAcentral.
GGGAAUAUUGGACAAUGGGCGCAAGCCUGAUCCAGCCAUGCCGCGUGAGUGAAGAAGGCCUUAGGGUUGUAAAUCUCUUUCGGCGGGGAAGAUAAUGACGGUACCCGCAGAAGAAGCCCCGGCUAACUCCGUGCCAGCAGCCGCGGUAAUACGGAGGGGGCUAGCGUUGUUCGGAAUUACUGGGCGUAAAGGGCACGUAGGCUGGCUGUUAAGUCGGGGGUGAAAUCCUGAGGCUCAACCUCAGAAUUGCCUCCGAUACUGGCGGUCUUGAGUGCGGGAGAGGUGAGUGGAAUUCCCAGUGUAGAGGUGAAAUUCGUAGAUAUUGGGAAGAACACCAGUGGCGAAGGCGGCUCACUGGCCCGCAACUGACGCUGAGGCACGAAAGCGUGGGGAGCGAAC